UUUGCGCCUGCCCGUCCCGCCAGUGCUAAUGUGUAAAAAUAAUUAAAAUACAAUUAAUUUAACCCCAUUAUUUUUCUCUCCAUCUCCGUUGCAUCUCCUUCUCCUUUCUCCUUUUAUUUUUAUUUUUAUUUUUUAUUUUUAUUAUUAUUUUUUUCCUUCUGUCAAAAUCAUUUUCCAAAGGUUGCAUCUCCGUUGCAAACCCACUUUCUUCCCUCAAAACCAGCUGCUCUCUGCAUCUCCAAAGGUGGUGGUCGCCGAUUGAUUUGCUGGUUGCCGUCUAAAGCUGUUCUGGUUGUUGCCGUUUUGCAGGUCACAAGUCAACAAAAAAAAUCGUGAAAAUGUACCUUAUAGUCAUUAUGGAGAAUCAAAACCCUUUGUAUAUCAUCUUCAGAAAAAAUCAAAGGACCUUCCUUACGGACAAACACAAAGACGGAUAGAUUUUUUUCUUGAUAUGCAUUAUCAUGAUAAAAAAGGAUGGAUCAAUGAGACAGUUCAACAAAGAUACGAGGACAUGCAUCAAAGACGUUCACAACUACUUGAGGAAGGGUUGGAGACAGUGAAUGAGGAUGCGAUUGCUGAUGAAGUUUUCGGAACUAGAUCAGGAUAUAUAUAUCUGGCAUGGAAUAUGGUCCAAAACUAGCUUUAUAUUCUCAUAAAAGACAACCAUCACUAGAUACAAUUGCUUUGUGUGAGCAAAUAUCAAGUUCGGAAGAAGAAUUGCCUCAUACAGGCGACAAACUGAAGAAUGGAUGGCAAAGUAUGAAGAAGAUAUGAGCCAAAUGAGAGAGUUUAUAUGACAAUUUAUGGCACAGAACUCUUGUUCUGGUGAUGGUACAUUAUUUAGUAGGUUUUGUUUUCCUCCACCUCCACGUCCUCCAUCGGCUGCUUCUUGACAUUUUUUUUUUUUAUUGUAGUUGUAAAAUUUACUAACAUAUAUGUUCAUAUGUACUAUUAAUGACAAGAAUUAUUACUUUUGU
This is a long non-coding RNA of Ziziphus jujuba (common jujube), 977 nucleotides long. RefSeq lists it as uncharacterized. Lineage: Eukaryota; Viridiplantae; Streptophyta; Magnoliopsida; Rosales; Rhamnaceae. The transcript is spliced from 5 exons. The record is from RefSeq and is a predicted model, not a curated record.